RNAcentral lists this ribosomal RNA (223 nucleotides) under uncultured bacterium. Its description in RNAcentral is "partial 16S ribosomal RNA". It matches the Rfam family "Bacterial small subunit ribosomal RNA", at positions 32 to 237 of the family's 1533-position model. The record is from RNAcentral.
AAUCAACGCUGGCGGCGUGCCUAACACAUGCAAGUCGAACGAGAAGGUGACUUCGGUCACUGGAUAGCGGCGUCCGGGUGAGUAACACGUAGGUAAUCUACCUUCGGGUGGGGAUAACGUCUCGAAGAGACGCUAAUACCGCAUAAUGCAGCGGCACCUAAUGGUGAUUAGUUGUUAAAGCGGGGGAGUCUUCGGACCUCGCGCCUGAAGAGGAGCCUGCGGC